CCUACGGGAGGCAGCAGUGGGGGAUAUUGCACAAUGGGGGGAACCCUGAUGCAGCGACGCCGCGUGGGUGAAGGAGUGCUUCGGCAUGUAAAGCCCUAUCGGCAGGGAAGAAGCAAGACGGUACCUGACUAAGAAGCCCCGGCUAACUACGUGCCAGCAGCCGCGGUAAUACGUAGGGGGCGAGCGUUAUCCGGAUUCACUGGGUGUAAAGGGAGCGUAGACGGCCAAGCAAGCCAGGGGUGAAAGCCCGGGGCCCAACCCCGGGACUGCCCUUGGAAAUGCAUGGCGGGAGUGCGGGAGGGGCAGGCGGAAUUCCUGGUGUAGCGGUGAAAUGCGUAGAUAGCAGGAGGAACACCGGCGGCGAAGGCGGCCUGCUGGACCGCGACUGACGUUGAGGCUCGAAAGCGUGGGGAGCGAACAGGAUUAGAUACCCCGGUAGUC
This 441-nucleotide ribosomal RNA is filed under the name uncultured bacterium. RNAcentral describes it as "partial 16S ribosomal RNA". It matches the Rfam family "Bacterial small subunit ribosomal RNA", at positions 338 to 795 of the family's 1533-position model. The record is from RNAcentral.